Molecule: ribosomal RNA, 942 nt
Filed under: Triticum aestivum (bread wheat)
Lineage: Eukaryota; Viridiplantae; Streptophyta; Magnoliopsida; Poales; Poaceae
Description: partial small subunit ribosomal RNA
Source: RNAcentral
AUGGUGAAUUGGGUGCAGAUGCUAAGGACGCACUUCGUGGCUCGUCUAGCCAAGAACGCCGGCCUCCGGCAGCAUGCAGUCGCCGUGGACGACGAUGGCACCACCGUCAACUUGUGGCUGCCUAAGAAGAAGCAGACUGGAGCAGCCACCACCGCCGGGGGAAACCAAAGGCACGCCGUGGUGCUCGUGCAUGGGUUCGCCGGCGACGGCAUGAUGACGUGGGGGUUCCAGGUGGGCGCCCUCGCCGCGCGCGGCCACGACGUGUACGUCCCGGACCUGGUCCACUUCGGCGGCUCCACGUCGCCGGCGCCCCACCGCUCCGUGGCCUUCCAGGCGCACUGCCUUGCGACGGCACUGGGGAAGCUCGGCUUGGCGGGCCAGCGGUGCACCGUGGUCGGGUUCAGCUACGGCGGGCUGGUUGCGUUCGAGAUGGCGGCGGCGUUUCCCGGCCUCGUCCGCUCCGUGGUCGUCUCCGGUGCCGACGUGGCCUACACGGCGGCCAUGAACGACGUCCUGCUGCAGAGGCUCGGCGCCGGAUCGAUGACGGACCUCAUGCUGCCGGAGACGGUCGGAGGCGUCGAGCGCCUCUUCUCCACCGCGUUCUACAAGAAACCGUUUCUACCCCGUCGUCUGCUCAGCGACUUUCUCAAGGUGAUGUGUGACAACCGAAAGGAGAGAUCCGAGAUGCUGGAAAAUAUGAUUACCAGCAAGGACAAAGAAGCACCAGCCCCUGUUUUUCAGCAGGCCAUACUUCUUUUAUGGGGAGAGAAUGAUAACUAUUUUAUCAUCGAGGAUGCCGAGAGGCUAAAAAGGGAGCUUGGGGAAAAGGCGAUGCUGAGAACCAUAAGCAAGGCGGGGCACCUAGCCCACCUGGAGAGACCAUGUGUCUACAACCGCUGCCUCAAGGAGUUCCUGGCUCACGUCGACCGCCUCCCAUCAUAG